RNAcentral lists this long non-coding RNA (1251 nucleotides) under Canis lupus familiaris (dog). Its description in RNAcentral is "lncRNA (ENSCAFG00040022808.1, ENSCAFG00805015808.1)". The record is from RNAcentral. Lineage: Eukaryota; Metazoa; Chordata; Mammalia; Carnivora; Canidae.
CGCUCCCCUGGGGGAGACACGUGCACUCUGGGGAGGCGGAGCUGGGCGGGAGCCUGGCAGCCCAGACUCAGGGGCCGCCUCCCGCGCGCUGGGGGGGAACCUCCACACCCGGCUUGCUGCGGGCCAAACUCCAGAGAUGCUGGGGCGCCGUGGGGGAGGCUGUACUCCCCGGGGUGGUGCGGGGCGCAGCCAGCGCGCACGUGGGACCCCCGCGCAGGGCCCAGAGGGAAGCACCGGCUGCCGCCGGGCGGGUGCUCAGGCCGCCCCGCCGGGCCCCUCCCGCCCCCUUCCCCCGCCCCCCUCCGGACUUCUGGUCCCCACCCCGUACCUGCCGGGGCCCCGCGACGGCCAGCCUCGGUCUUAGGGCCUGUAGAAUGGUCUCACGGCCGCCCUGACCUCGCGGUCAGCCGCGCUGCAGGACGCGGCUCCCACGUCCCCUGCGCGCCCCAGGCAGGGGGGCGGCGGGGCGGGGGAGGUGGACCCCGGGCGGCUCCCGCUCCGCGCCGCUGGGCCCUCCCGGCCGCCCAGGCCGGCGCCCCGCCGGGCCUCCUACCUCGCGGUGCUGGCGGCGCGGCCGGCAGGGGGAGCGAGGCGGAAGGGAGCGGCGGCCGGCCAGGUGAGGGGAAGGCCUCCCGCGGCCGGGCGCGCUCCCUCGGGGGCCGCGGGGUGCGGGGCGCCGGCGGGGGGGGGGGCGCGCUCCUUCCGGCUGCGGGCGGGGCGCGGGGCGCGGGGCGCGGAGCAGGGCGCGGGGCGCGGAGGGACCGAGGCAGGGACCGAGGCUGCUCCCAGGAGGCGCGGCCCGGGGGGCGGUGGAGGCAGAGACUCUGCGGGGCUGGAGGCUCGGGCGGCCUCGCGCUUCGAGCGCCUCGGGCCCCUCCGGCCGCGGGUCCCGGGCACAGAGCAGGGGGCGCGGGUUCUGCGGGCGCGAGGGUGAGGAGCCGCGACGGGUGGAAAGGGAUGGACCCCGCGACGGCGGAGCGCCCGGGUGAGGCCCCCCCCAACUUCUCCCCAGUGCACUUUUUCUCCACCAGGGUUUUUGCCCACCCCACAGGGUCCUCUGCUUCCUCCCAGCCCCGCUCAACAGGUCCCAGUUCCGGCAGGAAGGGGUUAAGGGGGGCUGGGAGGAUCCUGCGCUCCCCUCCACCACCUCAGACUCCGAGGGCCCAGGGCCUCGGGACCGUGCCCCAGAGACCCAUCCAGGAAGCCCCAGGGCUUUUCACUUUCACUUCUCCCUUCUCAAUACUGGUGUGA